Molecule: long non-coding RNA, 395 nt
Organism: Penaeus indicus
Lineage: Eukaryota; Metazoa; Arthropoda; Malacostraca; Decapoda; Penaeidae
Exons: 2
Source: RefSeq, a predicted model, not a curated record
UCUUUCCUUGCAGUCAUCAUCGGAGGGACCUCAGAGAACUGGGUGGCGAGCCAGGGCGUGCCGUACGUGUACACCAUGGAGCUGCGCGACAAGGGCGAAACCGUCUUCCACCUUCCGGAGCAACUCAUCGCUGAAACGGGAGAAGAUCUCUGGGCAGCCAUGAAGUAUCUGAGCAGCCAGCUCGUGGAGUAGGAGGCAGCACGAGGCGCAGCGCAACUCACUGGCCGAGUAGGAACGACGACAGACGCUUCUUUGAACCACUUAUCUUACUUUUUUUAACUAACACUUUUUAGUGCAUAAGUGAUUUUGACAAAAAGAAAAAAUGUUCACUUUUACUAUAUUUAUUAAUUUAUCAAAAUCUAUUUAUUACUUACCAAUAAAGAAAUUGCACAACA